RNAcentral lists this ribosomal RNA (497 nucleotides) under uncultured bacterium. RNAcentral's name for it is "partial 16S ribosomal RNA". It matches the Rfam family "Bacterial small subunit ribosomal RNA", at positions 28 to 507 of the family's 1533-position model. The record is from RNAcentral.
GAUGAACGCUGGCGGCGUGCCUAAUACAUGCAAGUCGAGCGAACAGACGAGGAGCUUGCUCCUCUGACGUUAGCGGCGGACGGGUGAGUAACACGUGGAUAACCCACCUAUUAGACUGGGAUAACUUCGGGAAACCGGAGCUAAUACCGGAUAAUAUAUUGAACCGCAUGGUUCAAUAGUGAAAGACGGUUUUGCUGUCACUUAUAGAUGGAUCCGCGCCGCAUUAGCUAGUUGGUAAGGUAACGGCUUACCAAGGCAACGAUGCGUAGCCGACCUGAGAGGGUGAUCGGCCACACUGGAACUGAGACACGGUCCAGACUCCUACGGGAGGCAGCAGUAGGGAAUCUUCCGCAAUGGGCGAAAGCCUGACGGAGCAACGCCGCGUGAGUGAUGAAGGUCUUCGGAUCGUAAAACUCUGUUAUUAGGGAAGAACAAAUGUGUAAGUAACUAUGCACGUCUUGACGGUACCUAAUCAGAAAGCCACGGCUAACUACGUG